AUUGAACGCUGGCGGCAGGCUUAACACAUGCAAGUCGAGCGGAGACUUCGGUCUUAGCGGCGAACGGGUGAGUAAUACCUAGGAAUCUGCCUAUUAGUGGGGGAUAACGAAUCGAAAGGUUCGCUAAUACCGCAUACGUCCUACGGGAGAAAGGGGGGGAUCUUCGGACCUCUCGCUAAUAGAUGAGCCUAGGCCGGAUUAGCUAGUUGGUAGGGUAAAGGCCUACCAAGGCGACGAUCUGUAGCUGGUCUGAGAGGAUGGCCAGCCACACUGGAACUGAGACACGGUCCAGACUCCUACGGGAGGCAGCAGUGGGGAAUAUUGGACAAUGGGGGCAACCCUGAUCCAGCCAUGCCGCGUGUGUGAAGAAGGCCUCGGUUGUAAGACACUUAAGUACGAGGAGG
RNAcentral lists this ribosomal RNA (404 nucleotides) under uncultured bacterium. Its description in RNAcentral is "bacterial SSU rRNA". It matches the Rfam family "Bacterial small subunit ribosomal RNA", at positions 30 to 448 of the family's 1533-position model. The record is from RNAcentral.